This 345-nucleotide unclassified non-coding RNA is filed under the name soil metagenome. Its description in RNAcentral is "partial contains 5.8S ribosomal RNA, internal transcribed spacer 2, and large subunit ribosomal RNA". The stretch from base 1 to 120 matches the Rfam family "5.8S ribosomal RNA", at positions 35 to 154 of the family's 154-position model. The record is from RNAcentral.
GAUGAAGAACGCAGCGAAAUGCGAUACGUAAUGUGAAUUGCAGAAUUCAGUGAAUCAUCGAGUCUUUGAACGCGCAUUGCGCCCCCUGGUAUUCCGGGGGGCAUGCCUGUCCGAGCGUCAUUGCUGCCCUCAAGCACGGCUUGUGUGUUGGGCCUCCGUCCUCCUCCCGGGGGACGGGCCCGAAAGGCAGCGGCGGCACCGCGUCCGGUCCUCGAGCGUAUGGGGCUUCGUCACCCGCUCUUGUAGGCCCGGCCGGCGCUUGCCGACACAUCAAUCUUUUUUCCAGGUUGACCUCGGAUCAGGUAGGGAUACCCGCUGAACUUAAGCAUAUCAAUAAGCGGAGGA